CUGGCGUAUUUGAGUGAUAUUCUAUUUCUACCUUUAGAUACUUUUGUGUUGGCGUCAACUAUCAUUUUGCUGAAAAUAAUCCAAAAGUUUUUCAUCUUUCUCAUUGGGCUACAUUGUGAGACGGGGGAUAUAUUCAGAGAAGCAGCGCAACUUUUGAAAUAUUAUUGGAAUGCUGUCAUUCAAUUGCUUGUCUUCUUCUUUGAUUAUUUUUUCGUUUCAUUGCAAUGCGAACAUGCCUGUGUUUAAUUUGGAUAGUAAAGAGACUAAAAUCAAACAGGAAGCUUUCGUCGGAGAAUUACUAGUAUUGUAUUUCGUAAUAAGGGGUUUGAAAUCUCCUUAUCGGUAGCAUUAGCACAAUAUGGCAUCAACUACAUUUAAAUGCAUAUUAAGAGCCACUGGCAACUCAUAGUCAUAGUUAGUUCCCCUCACAGCAUCAAUUUCCACAAAAUUGCACCACUAAAUUACCAUAACGGGGCAGACACCUUUGCCACUUGCUACCAAAAAUGAAGAAGACGAGCGCAAAACUAACGGAAACAUAUUACGGCAACUUAAGAAACCAAACGAAAGGACAAACAGGACGAGCAUAAGACAGGGACAAGUCGAGACAAAUGCCGAACUGAAAUACACCGAAAAAAACACGGAAUACAAGGUGGAAUUAUAUUCGAGUGUGCUCGACAACGUGAAUACCCUAGCACAUAUUUUUAUUACGUUGUAGCUUCUGUGAUUCUUUUUCCUUCACGUCUACAAAUUGUUUUUAAAAUAACUUUCGAGUUUAUUAUCCGAUCUUUAUGACAUUUUGAGGACCAACAAAUUUCUUUUGUUAUAUUAUGUCAAAACUUAAAGGGCACUACCUACAAAAUUGCUCCCGUCAUAGUUGUUAAAAUUAACUGGAACUGGAUAUGGUAUAAAAAGGCACUUAUUAUAAUUUUGGUGUGUCUAGCUCGCUUAAUUUUUGAUAUCGAUCUCAAUUAUAUUGGCUGUCAACACUGAUCAAGAUAAUAUAUACUUUAUAAAGUC
This is a long non-coding RNA of Drosophila innubila, 1017 nucleotides long. RefSeq lists it as uncharacterized. The record is from RefSeq and is a predicted model, not a curated record. The transcript is spliced from 2 exons. NCBI's taxonomy places the organism in Eukaryota, Metazoa, Arthropoda, Insecta, Diptera, Drosophilidae.